GACAGAGGUGGCAAGCGUUGUUCGGAUUCAUUGGGUGUAAAGGGUGCGUAGGCGGUUUGGAAAGUCGGACGUGAAAGCCCACAGCUUAACUGUGGUAAAUGCGUCCGAAACUUCUAGACUAGAGUGCGAGAGAGGUGAAGGGAAUUCCCGGUGUAAGGGUGAAAUCUGCAGAGAUCGGGAGGAACACCAGUAGCGAAGGCGCUUCACUGGCUCGCAACUGACGCUGAGUGCACGAAGGUAUGGGGAGCAAACGGGAUUAGAAACCCCGGUAGU
Molecule: ribosomal RNA, 273 nt
Filed under: uncultured bacterium
Lineage: Bacteria
Description: partial 16S ribosomal RNA
Rfam family: Bacterial small subunit ribosomal RNA
Source: RNAcentral